Molecule: ribosomal RNA, 222 nt
Filed under: uncultured bacterium
Lineage: Bacteria
Description: partial 16S ribosomal RNA
Rfam family: Bacterial small subunit ribosomal RNA
Source: RNAcentral
CGGACGGGUGAGUAACACGUGGGCAAUUUACCUUUCGGUGAGGAAUACCGGCGAGAAAUCGCCGACAAUACCGCAUAUGCUUCGCAAGAAGCAAAGUCGCAAGACGCCGGAGGAGAAGCCUGCGCCCGAUUAGCUAGUUGGUGGAGUAAUGGUUUACCAAGGCGACGAUCGGUAGCUGGUCUGAGAGGAUGAUCAGCCACACUGGGAUUGAGAACGGCCCAG